This 77-nucleotide transfer RNA is filed under the name Campylobacterales bacterium. RNAcentral describes it as "tRNA-Asp". It matches the Rfam family "tRNA". From Rfam's summary of the family: Transfer RNA (tRNA) molecules are approximately 80 nucleotides in length. The record is from RNAcentral. Lineage: Bacteria; Pseudomonadati; Campylobacterota; Epsilonproteobacteria; Campylobacterales.
GCGGUUGUAGUUCAGUUGGUUAGAAUACCUGCCUGUCACGCAGGGGGUCGCGAGUUCGAGUCUCGUCAACCGCGCCA